ACAUUUCAGCUCAAUGACCUUU
Molecule: microRNA, 22 nt
Filed under: Callorhinchus milii (elephant shark)
Lineage: Eukaryota; Metazoa; Chordata; Chondrichthyes; Chimaeriformes; Callorhinchidae
Description: eshark_NOVEL_120
Source: RNAcentral